CUACGGGCGGCACCAGUAGGGAAUAUUGCACAAUGGAGGAAACUCUGAUGCAGCAACGCCGCGUGGAGGAUGACACUUUUCGGAGCGUAAACUCCUUUUAUAUAGGAAGAAGAUGACGGUACUAUAUGAAUAAGCGCCGGCUAACUCCGUGCCAGCAGCCGCGGUAAUACGGAGGGCGCAAGCGUUACUCGGAAUCACUAGGCGUAAAGAGCGUGUAGGCGGAUUAAAAAGUCAGAAGUGAAAUCCUAUAGCUUAACUAUAGAACUGCUUCUGAAACUCUUAAUCUAGAAUAUGGGAGAGGUAGGUGGAAUUUCUGGUGUAGGGGUAAAAUCCGUAGAGAUCAGAAGGAAUACCGAUUGCGAAGGCGAUCUACUAGAACAUUAUUGACGCUGAGACGCGAAGGCGUGGGGAGCAAACAGGAUUAGAUACCCCUGUAGUC
Molecule: ribosomal RNA, 439 nt
Filed under: uncultured bacterium
Lineage: Bacteria
Description: partial 16S ribosomal RNA
Rfam family: Bacterial small subunit ribosomal RNA
Source: RNAcentral